CGGCAUGGGGGGCAGCUACACAUGCAGUCGGACGGUAGCACACAAGGAGCUUGCUCCUUGGGUGACGAGUGGCGGACGGGUGAGUAAUGUCUGGGGAUCUGCCCGAUAGAGGGGGAUAACCACUGGAAACGGUGGCUAAUACCGCAUAACGUCGCAAGACCAAAGAGGGGGACCUUCGGGCCUCUCACUAUCGGAUGAACCCAGAUGGGAUUAGCUAGUAGGCGGGGUAAUGGCCCACCUAGGCCACGAUCCCUAGCUGGUCUGAGAGGAUGACCAGCCACACUGGAACUGAGACACGGUCCAGACUCCUACGGGAGGCAGCAGUGGGGAAUAUUGCACAAUGGGCGCAAGCCUGAUGCAGCCAUGCCGCGUGUAUGAAGAAGGCCUUCG
RNAcentral lists this ribosomal RNA (390 nucleotides) under Pantoea agglomerans. RNAcentral's name for it is "bacterial SSU rRNA". It matches the Rfam family "Bacterial small subunit ribosomal RNA", at positions 38 to 420 of the family's 1533-position model. The record is from RNAcentral. RNAcentral also lists the same sequence under 1 other name. Lineage: Bacteria; Pseudomonadati; Pseudomonadota; Gammaproteobacteria; Enterobacterales; Erwiniaceae.